CUUGACACUGAACAUUGAGCCUUGAUGUGUAGGAUAGGUGGGAGGCUUUGAAGCGUGGACGCCAGUCUGCGUGGAGCCGACCUUGAAAUACCACCCUUUAAUGUUUGAUGUUCUAACCUGGCGCCGUGAUCCGGCGUGGGGACAGUGUCUGGUGGGUAGUUUGACUGGGGCGGUCUCCUCCCAAAGUGUAACGGAGGAGCACGAAGGUCAGCUAAUCCUGGUCGGACAUCAGGAGGUUAGUGCAAUGGCAUAAGCUGGCUUGACUGCGAGAGUGACGGCUCGAGCAGGUGCGAAAGCAGGUCAUAGUGAUCCGGUGGUUCUGUAUGGAAGGGCCAUCGCUCAACGGAUAAAAGGUACUCCGGGGAUAACAGGCUGAUACCGCCCAAGAGUUCAUAUCGACGGCGGUGUUUGGCACCUCGAUGUCGGCUCAUCACAUCCUGGGGGCUGAAGUAGGUCCCAAGGGUAUGGCUGUUCGCCAUUUAAAGUGGUACGCGAGCUGGGUUUAGAACGUCGUGAGACAGUUCGGUCCCUAUCUGCCGUGGGCGCUGGAGAAUUGAGGGGGGCUGC
Molecule: ribosomal RNA, 567 nt
Filed under: Cronobacter sakazakii
Lineage: Bacteria; Pseudomonadati; Pseudomonadota; Gammaproteobacteria; Enterobacterales; Enterobacteriaceae
Description: partial 23S ribosomal RNA
Rfam family: Bacterial large subunit ribosomal RNA
Source: RNAcentral